This 450-nucleotide ribosomal RNA is filed under the name uncultured bacterium. RNAcentral's name for it is "partial 16S ribosomal RNA". It matches the Rfam family "Bacterial small subunit ribosomal RNA", at positions 354 to 796 of the family's 1533-position model. The record is from RNAcentral.
GUGGGGAAUAUUGGACAAUGGGCGAAAGCCUGAUCCAGCCAUGCCGCGUGUAUGAAGAAGGUCUUCGGAUUGUAAAGCACUUUAAGUUGGGAGGAAGGGCAGUAAGUUAAUACCUUGCUGUUUUGACGUUACCGACAGAAUAAGCACCGGCUAACUUCGUGCCAGCAGCCGCGGUAAUACGAAGGGUGCAAGCGUUAAUCGGAAUUACUGGGCGUAAAGCGCGCGUAGGUGGUUUUGUAAGUUGGAGGUGAAAUCCCCGGGCUCAACCUGGGAACUGCCUCCAAAACUGCAUGACUAGAGUACGGUAGAGGGUAGUGGAAUUUCCUGUGUAGCGGUGAAAUGCGUAGAUAUAGGAAGGAACACCAGUGGCGAAGGCGACUACCUGGACUGAUACUGACACUGAGGUGCGAAAGCGUGGGGAGCAAACAGGAUUAGAAACCCGUGUAGUCC